This 2915-nucleotide ribosomal RNA is filed under the name Grimontia hollisae. RNAcentral describes it as "bacterial LSU rRNA". It matches the Rfam family "Bacterial large subunit ribosomal RNA". Lineage: Bacteria; Pseudomonadati; Pseudomonadota; Gammaproteobacteria; Vibrionales; Vibrionaceae. The record is from RNAcentral.
GUUGUAGGGUUAAGUGACUAAGCGUACACGGUGGAUGCCUGGGCAGUCAGAGGCGAAGAAGGACGUAGUAACUUGCGAUAAGCCCAGAUAAGGCAGUAACAGCCACUUGAGUCUGGGAUUUCCGAAUGGGGAAACCCACUGGCAUAAGCCAGUAUCAUUAACUGAAUCCAUAGGUUAAUGAGGCGAACUCGGGGAACUGAAACAUCUAAGUACCCGAAGGAAAAGAAAUCAAUUGAGAUUCCGGCAGUAGCGGCGAGCGACCCCGGACCAGCCCUUAAGCUGAUUGUGAGUUAGUGGAAGCCACUGGAAAGUGGCGCGAUACAGGGUGAUAGCCCCGUACACGACAACGCACAGUGAGUGAAAACGAGUAAGACGGGACACGUGUUAUCUUGUCUGAAGAUGGGGGGACCAUCCUCCAAGGCUAAAUACUCCUGACUGACCGAUAGUGAACCAGUACCGUGAGGGAAAGGCGAAAAGAACCCCUGUGAGGGGAGUGAAAUAGAACCUGAAACCGUGUACGUACAAGCAGUGGGAGCCUCCUUGUGGGGUGACUGCGUACCUUUUGUAUAAUGGGUCAGCGACUUACGUUAUGUAGCAAGGUUAACCGUAUAGGGGAGCCGUAGGGAAACCGAGUCUUAACUGGGCGUUCAGUUGCAUGACGUAGACCCGAAACCGGGUGAUCUAGCCAUGGGCAGGUUGAAGAUUGAGUAACAUCAAUUGGAGGACCGAACCGACUAAUGUUGAAAAAUUAGCGGAUGACUUGUGGCUAGGGGUGAAAGGCCAAUCAAACCCGGAGAUAGCUGGUUCUCCCCGAAAGCUAUUUAGGUAGCGCCUCGGACGAAUACUACUGGGGGUAGAGCACUGUUAAGGCUAGGGGGUCAUCCCGACUUACCAACCCUUUGCAAACUCCGAAUACCAGUAAGUAGUAUCCGGGAGACACACGGCGGGUGCUAACGUCCGUCGUGGAGAGGGAAACAACCCAGACCGCCAGCUAAGGUCCCCAAGUUAUCGCUAAGUGGGAAACGAUGUGGGAAGGCUCAGACAGCCAGGAUGUUGGCUUAGAAGCAGCCAUCAUUUAAAGAAAGCGUAAUAGCUCACUGGUCGAGUCGGCCUGCGCGGAAGAUGUAACGGGGCUAAGCGAUACACCGAAGCUGCGGCAGUGUGAUUUAUCACAUUGGGUAGGGGAGCGUUCUGUAAGCCGUAGAAGGUGGUCUGUAAGGGCUGCUGGAGGUAUCAGAAGUGCGAAUGCUGACAUGAGUAACGAUAAAGGGGGUGAAAAACCUCCUCGCCGGAAGACCAAGGGUUCCUGUCCAACGUUAAUCGGGGCAGGGUAAGUCGGCCCCUAAGGCGAGGCCGAAAGGCGUAGUCGAUGGGAAACGGGUUAAUAUUCCCGUACUGCUGAUAACUGCGAUGGGGGGACGGAGAAGGCUAGGUGGGCCAGGCGACGGUUGUCCUGGUUCAAGUGCGUAGGUAGGUGAGUUAGGCAAAUCCGGCUCGCUAUAUACUGAGACACGAUGUCGAGACACCACGGUGUUGAAGUCAUUGAUGCCCUGCUUCCGGGAAAAGCCUCUAAGCUUCAGGUUAUCAGUAACCGUACCCCAAACCGACACAGGUGGUCGGGUAGAGAAUACCAAGGCGCUUGAGAGAACUCGGGUGAAGGAACUAGGCAAAAUGGUACCGUAACUUCGGGAGAAGGUACGCUGCCCGCGGUGAAGUCCCUGGCGGAUGGAGCUAUGGGCAGUCGCAGAUACCAGGUGGCUGCAACUGUUUAUUAAAAACAUAGCACUGUGCAAACUCGAAAGAGGACGUAUACGGUGUGACGCCUGCCCGGUGCUGGAAGGUUAAUUGAUGGGGUUAUCCUUAGGGAGAAGCUCUUGAUCGAAGCCCCAGUAAACGGCGGCCGUAACUAUAACGGUCCUAAGGUAGCGAAAUUCCUUGUCGGGUAAGUUCCGACCUGCACGAAUGGCGUAAUGAUGGCCACGCUGUCUCCACCCGAGACUCAGUGAAAUUGAAAUCGCAGUGAAGAUGCUGUGUACCCGCGGCUAGACGGAAAGACCCCGUGAACCUUUACUACAGCUUGGCACUGAACAUUGAGCCUACAUGUGUAGGAUAGGUGGGAGGCUUGGAAGCGGUGACGCCAGUUGCCGUGGAGCCAUCCUUGAAAUACCACCCUUGUAUGUUUGAUGUUCUAACUUGGCCCCAUAAUCUGGGGUGAGGACAGUGUCUGGUGGGUAGUUUGACUGGGGCGGUCUCCUCCCAAAGCGUAACGGAGGAGCACGAAGGUGGGCUAAUCACGGUCGGACAUCGUGAGGUUAGUGCAAUGGCAAAAGCCCGCUUGACUGCGAGAAUGACGGUUCGAGCAGGUGCGAAAGCAGGUCAUAGUGAUCCGGUGGUUCUGAAUGGAAGGGCCAUCGCUCAACGGAUAAAAGGUACUCCGGGGAUAACAGGCUGAUACCGCCCAAGAGUUCAUAUCGACGGCGGUGUUUGGCACCUCGAUGUCGGCUCAUCACAUCCUGGGGCUGAAGUCGGUCCCAAGGGUAUGGCUGUUCGCCAUUUAAAGUGGUACGCGAGCUGGGUUUAGAACGUCGUGAGACAGUUCGGUCCCUAUCUGCCGUGGGCGUUGGAGAAUUGAGAGGGGCUGCUCCUAGUACGAGAGGACCGGAGUGGACGAACCUCUGGUGUUCGGGUUGUCACGCCAGUGGCAUUGCCCGGUAGCUAAGUUCGGAAUUGAUAACCGCUGAAAGCAUCUAAGCGGGAAGCGAGCCUCGAGAUGAGUUCUCCCUAAGGCUAAAAGCCUUCUAAAGGGUUGUUGGAGACGACGACGUAGAUAGGUCAGGUGUGUAAGUGCUGUGAGGCAUUGAGCUAACUGAUACUAAUUGCCCGUGAGGCUUAACCCUACAACACCCAAGGGGUUU